This 537-nucleotide long non-coding RNA is filed under the name Phasianus colchicus (ring-necked pheasant). Its description in RNAcentral is "lncRNA (ENSPCLG00000012573.1)". The record is from RNAcentral. Lineage: Eukaryota; Metazoa; Chordata; Aves; Galliformes; Phasianidae.
GAGAAGACAAUCAGACCUUCAGCAGUGUGCUCAAUUUCACACAGGAAAUAAGAAGUUCAUCCUACAGAGAAAAAGAACUGCUAGCCUUUGAUUCUGUCUACCUGAAAAGAGAUGACAGUCAGACCUUCAACAGUGUGUUCAAUUCCACACAGGAAAUAAAAAGAUGAUGUCUCAUAAUCAUAUUAAGCAAUCAUGACAGCAAUGAUGAACUUUGUGAGUGGCAGAUGAGCUGAAAUUAAUUGCUGGAUAAAGACAGAGUUCAACUUUGAAUUUUAGCUGAACAUCCCUCUAUGACACAAGAUAUGGAAAAGCAAAACCACUUUCUCCUCUAUUGAGCAGUUGCAAUCAUUGAUGACUAGGCUGCUGUUGGUUUCUAUUUAUUUAUUUAUUUAUUUAUUUAUUUUUGUAAGGGGGAAUAGAUUAUUUCUGUAGUAGACAUUAUUAUAUUUACAUUUGCUUCUUAAUUUACACUUACAAUUUAUCAAGCUAAUUUCACUUUACCUCCCUUGUAGUAAAAUAAAAAUUCUUUAAAAAUCA